Molecule: long non-coding RNA, 1016 nt
Organism: Anastrepha ludens (Mexican fruit fly)
Lineage: Eukaryota; Metazoa; Arthropoda; Insecta; Diptera; Tephritidae
Exons: 3
Source: RefSeq, a predicted model, not a curated record
GUGGUCAUCUCUACCCACUGUAAAAAUCGUUCAGUGGUUUGUCUAGUCUUUCGUUAAAAAAACCGUUAUGACUCUCUCUUUGUUUUCAGAAUGACUUCUUUUGUCUCAACUAAAGAGUUACAUUUUUAGUUGUCUCCAAGUGUUUGAACAAAUUUGUGUCACAUAAAGUGUAACAUUUUGAAUUGUGCCUGUUUACAACCAAACGAAAAAUAUCCACCACAGCUGCCAGAGGUAUUCAGUGGUUCGACUUUUUGUGCAACGCCCUAAUAUGCAUAAUCAAUAUGUAUAGAUUUUACAACCCGCCACUGUAUUUGUUUAUUUAUACGUAUUGGAGGGAUUCUCCAUUGCCAGCCAUUUCCUUGGCCACCUGCUAAGCAAUUUGUGGAAUCGUUCUUGAAAGGAUAGUCAACAAAGUUCUAAUCUGUAGAAUACACGGCGGAAAUAAUUCAGAAGUGUGACCAGCAUCAGACCGUUAACCGGCUCUCAGCGGUUUUAAAGGAAUCAGCGGAUUGGCUGAUGUAACAGGGGAUAUGCUUAUUUAUGACAAAUUGACAUUGGUGAUAUAAGAAAAAUUCGACACAACCAUUUCUCAUGAGAAUCUGUUGCCGUAUGAACCAAGAAUGACAGGAACGAAAUUGCGCCCAUCAGAGAGUAUGUGAAAUCACAUCGGUGCCGUUGCAGGAGAGAGAUGUGAAAAUUCGAGCAAGAAUGAAAGCAGAAGAAGAAAUUACAUAAAUAAUAAACGAAUAAAUUACAGAAGUGCGACGUCACACACACAUCGAUUUUGGCAAAGUAUGUUAGCGGUACUAUGGGAUUGGAAGAGUGUAAGAAGAUGUGUCAAAUGGGCAUGAUGGAAAGAAUAAUGAGAUGCCGCCUAUCGUGGUCAUGUUACUUUGCUCUCAGCGAAUUUGACAACGAGUUACGUGAUUUUAGCUCCAGUAUGGCCAGGUUACCUAACUUGAUUUAGCAUUUUUUUUGUUAUCUAGUCUCGGAGUUUUAGUUCUCUCUUCAUGACA